AUUUGCGGCUGUCACACGACUCAUGUGCAAUAAUCGUCUCAAAAGUUGCGAUUAAGUGAAUUCUGCACCCAAGAAAUAACUUUUUCCCUCCUCUCCCCUCUAUAAAUACAACUCCAAAUUAAUCACUUGGAUUAAUACAAAUCAUAUUUUUGUCAAUUCUUUGUCGUGUCCACUCAUAAAAAAUUAGAGUCAUCUCUCUCUCUCUCUCCCUUCAACUUUGUCGAUUGAGUAUCUUAUUCAAACGUUGUAAACUCAUUCGUACUUUAAAAUUAAAUUAUUUUUUUGUUGAUCAAGAAAUGGAAAUAACUUUAUCGAUCUCUUGUUCUAAGAAUCCAAAUUUUUAUACUAGGCGCUUGUGGAUCGAUCCUCCCUCAAGUCCCACUAGCCUGAAACGAAAGGCGAGGCUAGCGGUUAAUGCGAGAAGAAAUCGAGAUGGUUAUUAUGGUGAAAGCAAGAUAGUGGAUGAAAACAUGAUAGUUCUCCGAAUGCGUAUCAAAGAAAUGAAGAUAUCAUCAUCACAAGCUGGUCAAUUACAUAAUUUUAAAAAUUGGAUGGAAUUUGAGAAGAAGUAUUACUCACAGUUAUAAUGAGGUUGUUUUUGAAAUUGUAAGGUUGUUACAAAUGUGCUUGAUAGAGACUAGGCCAGCUUUGGCUUUAGGGAUAGCAGCACUUUUUUCUUUAAGUGUGCCUAUCUCAACUUACUUUUUGAUAGUCCAUGCCAUGGAUAUUGCCAAGAGUUUACUGUAAUUGCACCAAUUACACUUAAGCUUGGUGUUUAGCUACUACUUGAAAGAAUGGCACAUGAUCUUUGAUCCCUAGGAUUUUAACUUGGCGGUUUUGAUCUUUAAGAUAGGUAUUGUUCGAUUUCGCAAUUUUAGCUAUUGUUCGAUUUCGCAAUCUUAGGUUAGAGUCUCUCUCUAAUUUGCUUUUUUCUUCACAGCCGUGUGAUGCAGCUAGCAGCUAGCAGAUCCAUGGAUGCAAGCUUUUCUAGCUCUAGUAAUCUUGUAAUAUGAUUAAUUGACUAAAGUGGAUUGUUGACAUUUCAGUUGAUGACCUUUACUUGUCUUAAUAUUUUGUAGUUUAAUGGAACGUUGAUAUUUCUCAAUUUUGA
Lycium barbarum (goji berry) is the source of this 1111-nucleotide long non-coding RNA. RefSeq lists it as uncharacterized. NCBI's taxonomy places the organism in Eukaryota, Viridiplantae, Streptophyta, Magnoliopsida, Solanales, Solanaceae. The transcript is spliced from 4 exons. The record is from RefSeq and is a predicted model, not a curated record.